RNAcentral lists this ribosomal RNA (468 nucleotides) under uncultured bacterium. RNAcentral's name for it is "partial 16S ribosomal RNA". It matches the Rfam family "Bacterial small subunit ribosomal RNA", at positions 28 to 507 of the family's 1533-position model. The record is from RNAcentral.
GACGAACGCUGGCGGCGUGCUUAACACAUGCAAGUCGAACGGAAAGGCCCUGCUUUUGUGGGGUGCUCGAGUGGCGAACGGGUGAGUAACACGUGAGUAACCUGCCCUUGACUUUGGGAUAACUUCAGGAAACUGGGGCUAAUACCGGAUAGGAGCUCCCGCUGCAUGGUGGGGGUUGGAAAGUUUCGGCGGUUGGGGAUGGACUCGCGGCUUAUCAGCUUGUUGGUGGGGUAGUGGCUUACCAAGGCUUUGACGGGUAGCCGGCCUGGGAGGGUGACCGGCCCCAUUGGGACGGAGAUGCGGCCCAGACUCCUACGGGAGGCAGCAGUGGGGAAUAUUGCACAAGGGGCUGAAGCCUGAUGCAGCAACGCCGCGUGCGGGAUGACGUCCUUCGGGUUGUAAUCCGCUUUCGCCUGUGACGAAGCGUGAGUGACGGUAAUGGGUAAAGAAGCACCGGCUAACUACGUG